Molecule: non-coding RNA, 5170 nt
Organism: Oryctolagus cuniculus (rabbit)
Lineage: Eukaryota; Metazoa; Chordata; Mammalia; Lagomorpha; Leporidae
Source: RefSeq, a predicted model, not a curated record
AUUCAAUUGAAACUCUUAUUUUUCAUAAUAUUUCUAUUCAGUAUCUCCUUGUAGACACACCCAUGAUGAUUGCUUUCUGCAUCAUCCUCUAAAUUCCUGAGACGUACCAUUUACACCUCCAAUGAGAUAUUUUUGACUCCUAAAUUCUAUAUACAGGUACAGAAGAGCCUUGGGAGAGGUACAUAACAAAUUUCCUUCUCACACUGGAGCAGAGUCACAUAUAGAAAACUAAUGUCCCAUAUGUUUGUAUUUUGAUAAAGAUCUUUGAGUUAGAGCUGCAAAAAACAUUCAGUCACCAUAAAGAUUAUGGAAAUGUUGAUAGUAAACUAGAAUGAAGGCAAUGACAGCAAACAUAGACAAAGGACAUAUGAUAAUUCAGAUAAAAAAAAAAAAACAAGGAACAGCUGUAUGAAGAAAAAUUCACAAAGAAAUGUUAAAUCAUCUGAGAAUCAGAUAUUUUAAGGAGAGAACCACUUAAAUUUGAAGAACACAUAGACUCAAAGAAGAAAUAAUGAAUGGAAUGGGAGUGACUUAUCUCCUGCUAAACAGAAAAUAAACAGACAAAAUGAAAUUAACCCUUGGGAUUCAAUGCCCUAGUGGAUUUUUUGGAACCUGCCAAAAAGAUGGGCCAUAUGGUCAGGAGUGCUUCUGUGACAACAGAGGCCCAGAGGAAAUUUCAAGGAUUAUAAAUCCUCUUGUUUCAUCUCAUAAUUUGACGACCAGCUGGCACUAGGAAGUAUAACAUUGUACAAGUAAGUGCCUAUGGGUUUUUACAUCUUCCUCAGUAGCAUCCGGGGUUGGCCCCUGGAAAACAGAAUGUGGCACUACUCCAGGAUUGUCAUUAAUCUGCCUCCAUAGGGCAGUCUUCCCACAUGGGGAUCCAUCCAUAAUGGUUUGUUGUAGCGAUCUGUCACGCCAUAUGGGGGAAGAGAAACAAGAGAUUGAGCAACAGAGGGACACACAUAACUUGGAAUCCUGGCAAAAAUGGAAAAGAAGCAAGGAAGCAUUGAACAUCAUGUGUCCACAUAACUGAGCAGAGGUCAAGCAGUUAAUUACAUGCCCAUUGCUAGGUGUUAGAGUCUGCCAUAGAGACAUGGAGGGGAAAAGGGGAUCCAGCAGGGAGAGUAAGCCAGUGUUUCUGGAGUGGUACCAAAAUAAAAAUCCUUCUUGUAAUAACUUUCAGGGCUAGUUGAAUGUGAGAGUAUGCGACUCCUGGAAGAUACUGCUAUGCUGUGUACACAGUGCCUGCUCAUGUGGUAGUGCAAAGAAGGCCCCGGGGAGGAAGGAGAUGAAACCAUGAGUAUGUCCUACAACUGUUUAUUAUGAUGGUGGGUGAAAGUUAUGCCAUUUUCUAGUUCAGUUUUCACCUACCCAUUUGUCCCACCCAGUGCUGCAGCCAUAUAAAACUACCAUGCUCUUCAGAGCUUGGACAGUCCUAGAAGUAGAAGAGAUCAGUGCUGGAAUGGAGAAUAGAAUGUGUUGGUUGGAUGAAUGCAUGUAUGCAUGCAAUAAUGAAUGAACAAAUGAUUGCACUUAGUAGUACUUCCCAUAACCAGUCAGCUAUUUCGUACAAAUGCUAGUGGUGGUAAGUCUUUAUCUCCUGGAAGUAGUUUUUGAAGAUGAGAGAGAAGGGAAGUAGCAGGUGAGUGGAAAGUAGAUAGAUAAAAGAGGAAAAAAAAAUUUCACCCUGAUGGGGGAAAUUCUGUGACUUUAUUAUUUAAAUAAGAGUGUUCUUCAUAUAUUCUGUUUUCUUAUGGUGCUUCAGUUAUUUCACAUGUGAUUUCCUAUUAGCUUUGAACAUUUUAAAGCACCAAAUGCAAGCACUUUUAAUGCGACGUUCAGUACUCAUAGAUGAAUGGAUAGCAGGAAAUGCAAAUGGGAAAUUGUUGAAACCAAAUGGAAUGACCACUAUUACCUUGCAUAUUGCCUCCACUGUCUCAAGGUAAGACAGAGCUAAUGUCAGCUCAGCUGCAACAAGGACAAAAGGGUUUGGUGACUGGGGAGAAGGGAAAAACAACCUCUCUUUUUCAACCUUUCAGAGGAAGGAGCGCUCUCAGCAGGAGGGAUCGCAGGGCUCUGGGAGAGCAAUUGCAUUGGAGGGGCGGGGACAACAGGAAGUGAGUGCAAACAGACCCUCUCCUCAACAUAAACACACACAGACUUAACCUAUGGCUGAACUUCUGCCCUUGAGUGACCAGCGCCAUUAGGACACAGGUCAAAAGGUUGUAGUGCGACAGAAAAUGGAGCCUGAUUGAAUGAAAGAGAAAAUGAAAAAUUCUUUUGUUUGCUUCACUCUGUGGUUUGUAAAGGCGGCUGUGAUGUCAUAAUGGAGACCAGAGUGGGAAAAAGAAGUCCCUGAUUUAUCACAGUCUGAGAAAGGCAGUCGGAAAUUCAGUUAAGCAUUGAAAACCAAAAUCGGCUGGGAGACCUACACACAAUAAAAGAACACUUGCAAGUAGACAUGAUACUAUGAAUAUUACCACUACGCAGAUGAAGAAAUGGAGGCAGAAAGGAUUUAAAAGGAAACUGCAUGAGGAUGGAGAUUAUGUCCUUGUUUUCACACAUUUCCAGCAUUUAGAACAGUGCCUGGAACAUGGUAGGCAGUCAAUUAAUACUUUUAAAAUAAAUACAUAUGUAAGUGAGAAGGGUCACUAAGAUUCAGACAUCUUAGAGUUUUCAGACUAGUUUUAAAAUUCCAGGGAGAAGUAUUUUUAAGAUACUUUUUUUUAGAUACCUCACUCAGUUACAAAUUUAGAUGACAUUACAGGUUGAAUAUCCUUAUGCAAAAAUGCUUAUUUCUAGAAGAGUUUCAGAUUUCUGAAUUUUUCAGAUUUUAGAACAUUUGUACAGACUUUAGCAGUUGAGCAUCCUUAGUCUGAAAAUUCAAAUUUCAGAUGCUCUAAAAUCUAAAGCUUUUUGAGCACUAUGUCAGUGUUCAAAAUGUUUAAGAUUUUUAGAAUAUUUUAGAUUUCACAUUUUCAGAUUAGAGUGCUCAAUCUGUAGUAGAAAUUCAAGUGAAACAAAAUGAAGAAGGCAGAGUAGGUGGCUGUUGGGAAGAACUGACAGGUCAGCCAUACAUCUGAAAAGAGGAAAGGAUCGUUAUGAAGGGUGGCAAAGAUUUCUGAAGACAAGUCAUGUUGUACAAAUUGAAGUCAUCAUCAACACCUGUUGCCUUGAGAAGUCUCAUUUAUUUUCCAGUGGGACCACCUUAAACACUUGGUAACUUAAAUUCUGUUUAGAAUUUGGACUCCAUUUUCUAUUCACGUAUAGACAAAGCUAGUGUGUAUUCAUAGUAGCAGCAUUUUGUGUCCACUUAGCAAAGCAUUGUAGAAACUGUUGAGGAAGUGUUAGCAUCAGAAUGAGAAUGCAUAUUAUGUGAGAUGACUCCUCCUGGAGUAGUAUUUGCAGUGCUAGGAAAUACACGUGUGUGUAUGUGUGUAUAUAUAUAUAUACACACAUAUAUAUACAUUAAGAUUUAUUUAUUUAUUUGAAAUGCAGGGUUACAGAGAGGCAGAGGCAGAAAGGGAGAGAGAGAGAGAGGUCUUUCAUCCACUGGUUCACUCCCCAAGUGGCCGCAAUGGCAGCAGCUGCUCCGAUCUGAAGCCAGGAGCUAGGAGUUUCCUCUGGGUCUCCCACAUGGGUACAGGUGCCCAAUGUCUUGGGUCAUCUUCUACUGAUUUGCCAGGCCAUUGCAGAGAGCUGAAUUGAAAGUGGAGCAGCCAGAACUCAAACCGGCUCCCAUAUGGGAUGCCAGCACUGCAGGUGGCUGCUUUAUCCACUGCCACAAGCGCUGGCACCAAGAGUAUAUUUUUUAAAAACAAAUUCUAAGUGUCUAGAAAUUGACACUGGAGGUGGCCAGCAUUUUGUCACAGUGGGUUAAGCCACUUUAUAUGGAAGUGUACAUUCUGGUCCCAGCUCCUUCACUUCUGAUCCAGCUCCCUGUUAAUGCACCUGGGAAGGAAGCAGAAGAUGGCCCAAGUGCUUGGGUCCUUGCCAAGUCAGGUGGAGUUCCUGACUGUUGAUUUUAACCUGACCCAGACCCCACGGUUGUGGUCCUUUGGGGAAUGAACCAGUGGAUGGAAGAUCUCUCUCUGUCACUCUGCCUCUCAAAUCCAUUAAUCAAUCUUUAAAAAAUAACACCAAUAACAUCAACUAACUAUAUUGGCUUCUUCUCAGGGAUGCCUCUGCCCCAACAGUGAAUGAUCCUUGUCCCCUACUCAGUAAAAGCAGACUGGAGCUAACAUUUAUUGUCUGUAAUCAUGUGGUUAAAUAUAAGUAAUGUUCCCAUUUUGUUUUGGGAAAAUUUAUACACAGAAUGGUAAGAGAGAGGCUAAGUACCUUGCCUGAAGACAUGGUUAUUACAUAUCAGAGCUAAGAUAUGAGUAAACCCUAGAUAAUCUGACUUUUUGCACAAUAAAGUAGCAACUCUGAAUUAUUACAGGAUAUAAUUUGUUCAAGGUAUUUUGUCUUGUAUAAUAAUGGCUUUUUAUUGUCUCUUGACAAAUAAUCAGUUAAUAGCAGGAUACUCUAAGGAAGGUGUAGGAAUUCUUUCUGUUUGUUUUUAUAGCUAGGAUGAAUUUUGGAUUUUCUCCUUAUAAGGUAAAAAUAUUUAUGUGAUUAUACAGGUCAGAUGACAAAAUGAGAUAAAAAUAUGAAAAUACCUUAAAAUUAAAAGUAUUCUAUUGUUAUUAAUUCUGUUGUGUAAGUUUAGAUAAUGUUUUAAGAGUAUUGACAGCAAAGAAAAAACAUGCUGGAACUCAACUUGUGGUUGCUGUUUUCUACUAUUUAUCUAAGACAAGGUAUCUUGGACUUCCAAAAUCUAGGGUUUUCUAGAGAUAUCAACAAUUAUCACACACAGAAAGUAUGAGGUGAGAGAUAUAUUAAUCAGCUUGCUUUAAUCAUUCUGCAAUGUAUAAUACAGCCUUCCUUCCUCAUUCAUAGAUUCAACCAAUCUUGGAUCAAACAUAUUUGGCCAAAAACAAACAAAAUUUGCAUCUGUCCUGAACAUGUACAGACAUUUUUUCUUAUAAUUAUUCCCUAAGCAAUGCAGUAUAAUAACUAUUUAAUAGCAUUUGCAUUGUAUUAGGUAUUAUAAGUAAUAUAAACAUUAUUUAAAUCAUGUGGAAGAAUGUGUGUAAGUUAUAUACAAAUACUAAACUAUUUCAUAUGA